CUUUUUUUUUUUUUUUUUUUUUUGUCACAUGUGGUUACUGAAACUUCUGCUUAUUUACGUUAGUGGUCAGCUAAUGAUUUGACAGAAAUUUUCUUAAGUGCCUGGAAUGAAGAAACCUUUCAGUAUGUGCAGAGAAGUUCCAGGUGCAUGUUGGGCUACACCUUCAACAAUCAGCCAUGCCAUUGACAGCUCAGUGGUAGCCUUCAAUUGCUGCAGGCACAGAGACUCAGUGUCAGCCAGAGGUGAAAGAUUAGGGUCUUCUCAGGUACUUACUGUGUAUGCAUGUAGUGCUGCACAUGUAUGUGGCCUUCUAGAUCCCAAGGAAUGUCAAAGCUUUUCAAGUCCUUCUAUGGACAUCUCCUUCCUCAAAUUUUUCCUUUUUUUUAGUUAGCUUCCCUGCACAACCCCCCCCCCCCCCCCACACACACACCCUGUAUUAGUGCUUUAGGUGUUUUCAGUGUUAAACAAUUGUUUUUAACAAAUGCUGAGGGGCUAGAGUUUUUUCCCAUUGAGUGAUCUCUGAGUUAGGUCCAGUAAACACAAGUCCUGAGAUGGGGCUUUUCCAGAUAUCUGCCAGUUCAAAUAAUGACAGUUCUCUGGGAGGGGGCCUUUUUAGGGAGCUCCAGUCCCAUUUUGCCUUCUCAGGGACUGCUAGAGUGCUGUUUUUCUCAGUCCCCAUGGCUGCAGGGAUGCUGGGGACUGUGAUGCUAGGGAGAGAGUGAUGGAAAUAGGGAAAAUUAAAAUCCCACAAAGCUCAGUGUUCUUAUUGAGACUCAGCCAUUUUUCAUGAUAAAAUUAUCAUUGUAAUGUUGUAAGCCUUUUGUUAAUUUCCAUAAUUUUGAAAAAGUUGAUAUUGACAAUUUUUGGUAGUACAGCUUUUAUGCUUUUAUGGAGGAGUAGAUUUUGAGAGGUUCUUACUUGGCUAUUCUGGAAGUGCUUCCCCCUCCUACUGAAUUUUACCCCUGUCUGCUACAAUGUGAUGUUACAUUUGAUUGGUUUCUUUUUUCUCUUUCCUUAAAUAUUUUGAAAAAUAAUUUAAUUUAUAUUAUAAUUAAAAUUUAUAAUUUUUAUUAUCUCUUUCAUCUCUGUUUUUUUCACCCCUUUUUACAAGUAUAUAUAUACCUGUAAAAAAAAUAUAUGUGUGUGUGUAUAUAUACACGUAUAUAUACGUACAUACAUACAUACAGGUAUAUAUUUUUAAAAUCUCUAAAUUGAGGUAAAAUACAUAUAAAAAAUUUUGCCAUCAGUUCACCAUUUAAAAUGUGCAACUUAGUACUUUUUAGGACAUUUACGUUGUUGUGCAACGAAUCUCCACAAGUUUUCAUCUUGAAAAACUGAAAAUCUCUACCCAUUAGACAAAAACUCACCAUUUUUCCUUCCCUGUAGUUCCUGAAACCAUCGUUCUACUUUCUGUCUCUAUGAAUUUGACUACUGUAGGUAUCUCAUAUAAGAUAUAGUAUUUGUCUUUUUGUGACUGAUUUAUUUCAUUUAGUAUAAGGUUCUCAGCAUUUAUCCAGGUUGUACCAUGGUUCAGAAUUUCCUUUCUAAGGCUGAAUAAUAUUCUGUUGUAUGCAUAUACUACAUUUUUUUAAUCUGUUCAUCCAUCAAUAGACAUUUGUAUUACUUCUGCCUUUUUGCUAUUGUGAAUAUGGACAUAGAUAUACACAUAUCUCUUUUAAUUCUUUUUAGUAUAUUAAUUUUUUUCUUUGCAUGGCAGUAUCUAUAGAAAUAACCAACUUGAUAGUUUUCUUAAAUAGGUUAGUACACAUACGGAGUUUCUCAGAUUUUGCUACAUAAUACAUUCUUCAUUAGACAUAACUAAGUAUUAUUUUCUGAUUCUUCCCAGACUUAGACGUUACCUCGCUGGUUCUUCCACUUUCAAGCUGGUAAAGUUUAAAAAUUUUUAAAUGACUUGAAGCCAUGUCAGGGGUUAGGAAAUAAAUUACAAAAUUAAAUAGAAUCCAACUUCCAAUUCCUCAUUUAUUUAUUUAUUUUUUUUAAAAAUUUUUAUUUAUUUAUGAUAGUCACAGAGAGAGAGGCGCAGAGACAUAGGCAGAGGGAGAAGCAGGCUCCAUACACCGGGAACCUGAUGUGGGAUUCGAUCCCGGGUCUCCAGGAUCGCGCCCUGGGCCAAAGGCAGGCGCCAAACCACUGCGCCACCCAGGGAUCCCUCAAUUCCUCAUUUAAACCUUCAGUUGCUAUGUUUUAGUAUUUUCUUUAUGUAUCUAAAUAAAAAAUAGUGUAGGAAUAAGAAUUCUUGUCAUCCUUUUGAAUAAGCAACCAACAUGGCAUUUCAUGGUCUCAAUUUUGUUGAUUAAUGAGGAGGUGUUUGGGGAAACAUAUUUAGGGAUAGAAAGUAACAGGUUGAGUUAUAUCAAUAGAUGUGGCCAUGCGUUCUUUGUACAUUUGAGGAGCACACUCAAAUCCCUGCACCAAGUAGGCAGGUAACAUAAAUCUGUGAAGCAAACUAGAUGAGGACUCUGGUAAGCUGGACCUUACAUGUGAUUCCUAAAAGGAGAACUGUUACCAGCUCCUACCAGAUUAUUGCCCCAAGAUGCCCGAUAAACUAGUUUUUCAAGAGAAAACAGAAAUUAGAAUUCUUAUGUGAAAUCUUAUUUUAAAAAAUGGGCAAAUAAUUGAAAAA
This 2644-nucleotide long non-coding RNA is filed under the name Canis lupus familiaris (dog). RNAcentral describes it as "lncRNA (ENSCAFG00845022731.1)". The record is from RNAcentral. Lineage: Eukaryota; Metazoa; Chordata; Mammalia; Carnivora; Canidae.